Molecule: ribosomal RNA, 303 nt
Filed under: uncultured bacterium
Lineage: Bacteria
Description: bacterial SSU rRNA
Rfam family: Bacterial small subunit ribosomal RNA
Source: RNAcentral
UGGGGAAUAUUGCACAAUGGGGGGAACCCUGAUGCAGCGACGCCGCGUGAGUGAAGAAGUAUUUCGGUAUGUAAAGCUCUAUCAGCAGGGAAGAAAAUGACGGUACCUGACUAAGAAGCCCCGGCUAACUACGUGCCAGCAGCCGCGGUAAUACGUAGGGGGCAAGCGUUAUCCGGAUUUACUGGGUGUAAAGGGAGCGUAGACGGUUAUGCAAGUCUGAAGUGAAAGCCCAAGGCUCAACCAUGGGACUGCUUUGGAAACUGUAAAACUGGAGUGCAGGAGAGGUAAGCGGAAUUCCUAGUG